Molecule: ribosomal RNA, 433 nt
Filed under: uncultured bacterium
Lineage: Bacteria
Description: partial 16S ribosomal RNA
Rfam family: Bacterial small subunit ribosomal RNA
Source: RNAcentral
AACGAACGCUGGCGGCAUGCCUAACACAUGCAAGUCGAACGAGACCUUCGGGUCUAUUGGCGCACGGGUGCGUAACGCGUGGGAACCUGCCCUUAUGUUCGGAAUAACUCCCCGAAAGGGGUGCUAAUACCGGAUAAUGUCUUCGGACCAAAGAUUUAUCGCCUUUGGAUGGGCCCGCGUUGGAUUAGCUAGUUGGUAGGGUAAAAGCCUACCAAGGCGACGAUCCAUAGCUGGUCUGAGAGGAUGAUCAGCCACACUGAGACUGAGACACGGCCCAGACUCUUACGGGAGGCAGCAGUGGGGAAUAUUGGACAAUGGGCGAAAGCCUGAUCCAGCAAUGCCGCGUGAGUGAUGAAGGCCUUAGGGUUGUAAAGCUCUUUUACCCGGGAUGAUAAUGACAGUACCGGGAGAAUAAGCUCCGGCUAACUCCGUG